Molecule: long non-coding RNA, 1295 nt
Filed under: Phocoena sinus (vaquita)
Lineage: Eukaryota; Metazoa; Chordata; Mammalia; Artiodactyla; Phocoenidae
Description: lncRNA (ENSPSNG00000006953.1)
Source: RNAcentral
CUUGUCCAAGGCACAUACAGCUGGAAGGGUCAAGUCCAGAUUUGAACUUAGGUAUACAGAUUGCCAGAUCUUUGUAUUUUAUUAUUGUUCUGAAGUCAGAACCCACUUCGCCAUCCCCACCAGUGAAUAAUAAGUAUUAUAGAUCAUGUUACAAAACACUUUCAUUUUGAUGAUGAACAAAGUGAACUUAGCCUGAUGGCCAGAGGAAUCCAGUGCCCAUGUAUGUGUGUGUAUAUAUAUAUAUAUAUAUAUAUAUAUAUAUACACACACACAGAAAUAUAUAUAUAUUUGUUUUUUCUCCUUAAGACCUUAAAACCUUGAGAGGCAGAAGAAGUAGGAAGAAGUAAAAGAGAGAAAAGUAAAAGAAAGUCCUCAGAAGAAAGAAAUGCACAGGAACUAAGGGCGCAGAUUUGAAGUGUAUGCCCAGCGACCGGUGAAGACCUCCGGCUCAACAGAGAAAAAUGGAAGCUUUGGUCCCCAGUCGCUCCGGUGAAGAAGCAAAGAUCACCGCAGUCUGAUUUUUACAGACUCCGUACCACUGUUGCAGCCUGUGAUUCUGAGGUGCAAAAUUGGCCAGCCCAGAGAGAAUGGACCAAUUGCUUCGGCUUUAAUUUCCGGUGCUUUACAAAGGCUGAGCUGAAGGCUGCACCACCAGAAGCUUGGAAUUUGCCUGGUCUGCUGGAUGGAGAGAGUCUGACUUGGAUUCUGGGGACUUGGAAAGACAGUCAAAAGACUCUUCCCUUCCCUGAAAUAGCCACGCAUUUGUUUAAAGACCUGAAACCAUUCUGAUGCUGGAAUUUCCCUCUGUGUUUAUGUUCACAUCUGGGUGAUGGUCUUCUGCCACUGGAGGACUUUUAGUGAAUCACUUCAGAGAUUGUUUUUAAUGUUUCCCAGAUGAGAGGGGCUGGCACUCGUCUGUUUUCUGAGGCCUGACAGGGCAGGACUGACCGGGCUUCCCGGCUGGCCGCCUGGAGCUGUUCCUUGGGGGAAGUGGACAGGCAUUUCUUGUCUUUCUGGGAAACCUGCUCCUCUGAGCUCCUGAUCCCCGGGCUCUCUUUCCACAUGAGGAGGGGGGAAAAGGUGGAAUGGAAUAUAAAUAAAAGAGAUAGACUAGUUUUAACUGGUCCAAGAUGUUACGGGCUGCGCUCUCGGUAGCCACUGGCAGCCGGCACCCCUCUGUGUUCCCGGGCUCUGGUUUGCGGUGUCACGGGCUCCAAGAGACAAGGCUGGUUGGGGUCGCUUCCAGAGGGCAGCCUGGGAAGCUCAGGAAGCUGUUGGCUCAGCUCAGGAGUCAU